UGGGGAAUAUUGGACAAUGGGCGAAAGCCUGAUCCAGCCAUGCCGCGUGUGUGAAGAAGGUCUUCGGAUUGUAAAGCACUUUAAGUUGGGAGGAAGGGCAGUAAGCGAAUACCUUGCCGUCUUGACGUUACUGACAGAAUAAGCACCGGCUAACUCUGUGCCAGUAGCCGCGGUAAUACAGAGGGUGCAAGCGUUAUUCGGAAUUACUGGGCGUAAAGCGCGCGUAGGUGGUUCGUUAAGUUGAAUGUGAAAGCACCGGGCUCAACCAGGGAACUGCAUCCGAAACUGGCGGGCUAGAGUAGGGCAGGGGGUGGAGGAAUUUCCUGUGUAGCGGUGAAAUGCGUAGAUAUAGGGAGGAACACCAGUGGCGAAGGCGACCACCUGGGCUCAUACUGACACUGAGGUGCGAAAGCGUGGGGAGCAAAAAGG
Molecule: ribosomal RNA, 429 nt
Filed under: Pseudomonadota bacterium
Lineage: Bacteria; Pseudomonadati; Pseudomonadota
Description: Proteobacteria bacterium partial 16S ribosomal RNA
Rfam family: Bacterial small subunit ribosomal RNA
Source: RNAcentral